RNAcentral lists this ribosomal RNA (497 nucleotides) under uncultured bacterium. RNAcentral's name for it is "partial 16S ribosomal RNA". It matches the Rfam family "Bacterial small subunit ribosomal RNA", at positions 28 to 507 of the family's 1533-position model. The record is from RNAcentral.
GAUGAACGCUGGCGGCGUGCCUAAUACAUGCAAGUCGAGCGAACAGACGAGGAGCUUGCUCCUCUGACGUUAGCGGCGGACGGGUGAGUAACACGUGGAUAACCUACCUAUAAGACUGGGAUAACUUCGGGAAACCGGAGCUAAUACCGGAUAAUAUAUUGAACCGCAUGGUUCACUAGUGAAAGACGGUUUUGCUGUCACUUAUAGAUGGAUCCGCGCCGCAUUAGCUAGUUGGUAAGGUAACGGCUUACCAAGGCAACGAUGCGUAGCCGACCUGAGAGGGUGAUCGGCCACACUGGAACUGAGACACGUUCCAGACUCCUACGGGAGGCAGCAGUAGGGAAUCUUCCGCAAUGGGCGAAAGCCUGACGGAGCAACGCCGCGUGAGUGAUGAAGGUCUUCGGAUCGUAAAACUCUGUUAUUAGGGAAGAACAAAUGUGUAAGUAACUAUGCACGUCUUGACGGUACCUAAUCAGAAAGCCACGGCUAACUACGUG